Molecule: small nucleolar RNA, 132 nt
Organism: Apodemus sylvaticus (European woodmouse)
Lineage: Eukaryota; Metazoa; Chordata; Mammalia; Rodentia; Muridae
Product: small nucleolar RNA SNORA17
Exons: 1
Source: RefSeq, a predicted model, not a curated record
CUUGUUCCUAGAGGGGUUGUGGGUGUGGCUGCUGUGCCACAUAUGCGUCAGUAGGUGGCAGAGAGGAGAGAGGCUAUGCCUAUGCUCAGGGUUCUGACCUGUGAACAUCUGAAUGGUUAGCAGGCCAACAUU